This 434-nucleotide ribosomal RNA is filed under the name uncultured Glomus. RNAcentral describes it as "SSU rRNA". It matches the Rfam family "Eukaryotic small subunit ribosomal RNA", at positions 569 to 1011 of the family's 1831-position model. Lineage: Eukaryota; Fungi; Glomeromycota; Glomeromycetes; Glomerales; Glomeraceae. The record is from RNAcentral.
AGCAGCCGCGGUAAUUCCAGCUCCAAUAGCGUAUAUUAAAGUUGUUGCAGUUAAAAAGCUCGUAGUUGAAUUUCGGGAUCAAUUUAUUGGUCGUGCUAUUGUACGUACUGGUAUCAUUGAUUCCUACCUUCUGACGAACCAUGAUGUCAUUAAUUUGGUGUCAUGGGGAAUCAGGACUGUUACUUUGAAAAAAUUGAGUGUUUAAAGCAGGCUCACGCUUGAAUACAUUAGCAUGGAAUAACGAAAUAGGACGUUUGAUUCUAUUUUGUUGGUUUCUAGGAUCGACGUAAUGAUUAAUAGGGAUAGUUGGGGGCAUUAGUAUUCAAUUGUCAGGGGUGAAAUUCUUGGAUUUAUUGAAGACUAACUACUGCGAAAGCAUUUGCCAAGGAUGUUUCAUUAAUCAAGAACGAAAGUUAGGGAUCGAAGACGAUCAG